This 497-nucleotide ribosomal RNA is filed under the name uncultured bacterium. RNAcentral describes it as "partial 16S ribosomal RNA". It matches the Rfam family "Bacterial small subunit ribosomal RNA", at positions 28 to 507 of the family's 1533-position model. The record is from RNAcentral.
GAUGAACGCUGGCGGCGUGCCUAACACAUGCAAGUCGAGCGAACAGACGAUGAGUUUGCUCCUCUCACGUUAGCGGCGGACGGGUGAGUAACACGUGGAUAACCCACCUAUAAGACUGGGAUAACUUCGGGAAACCGGAGCUAAUACCGGAUAAUAUAUUGAACCGCAUGGUUCAAUAGUGAAAGACGGUUUUGCUGUCACUUAUAGAUGGAUCCGCGCUGCAUUAGCUAGUUGGUAGGGUAACGGCCUACCAAGGCAACCAUGCGUAGCCGACCGGCGAGGGUGAUCGGGCACGCUGGAGCUGAGACGCGGUCCAGAGUCCUACGGGAGGCAGCAGUUGGGAAUCUUCCGCAAUGGGCGGAAGCCUGACGGAGCGGCGCCACGUGAGUGAAGAAAGUCUUCGGAGCGGAAGACUGUGUUAUUGGGGAAGAACAGAUGUGUAAGUAACUAUGCGCGUCUUGACGGUACCUAGUCAGGAAGCCACGGCUAACUACGUG